CACGUAGGGUGCGAGCGUUGUCCGGAAUUAUUGGGCGUAAAGAGCUCGUAGGCGGUUUGUCGCGUCUGCCGUGAAAGUCCGGGGCUCAACUCCGGAUCUGCGGUGGGUACGGGCAGGCUAGAGUUCGGUAGGGGAGACUGGAAUUCCUGGUGUAGCGGUGAAAUGCGUAGAGAUCAGGAAGAACACCGGUGGCGAAAGCGCUCUGCUAGGCCGCAACUGACACUCAUGGACGAAAGCUAGGGGAGCGAAUGGG
This 253-nucleotide ribosomal RNA is filed under the name uncultured bacterium. RNAcentral describes it as "partial 16S ribosomal RNA". It matches the Rfam family "Bacterial small subunit ribosomal RNA", at positions 524 to 776 of the family's 1533-position model. The record is from RNAcentral.